CAAAAGCGUAUAUUAAAGUUGUUACAGUUAAAAAGCUCGUAGUUGAACCUUGGGCUUGGCUGGCCGGUCCAUCUUUUUUGAUGCGUACUGGACCCAGCCGAGCCUUUCCUUCUGGCUAGCCUUUUGGCGAACCAGGACUUUUACUUUGAAAAAAUUAGAGUGUUCAAAGCAGGCCUUUGCUCGAAUAUAUUAGCAUGGAAUAAUAGAAUAGGACGUUAUGGUUCUAUUUUGUUGGUUUCUAGGACCAUCGUAAUGAUUAAUAGGGACGGUCGGGGGUAUCAGUAUUCAGUUGUCAGAGGUGAAAUUCUUGGAUUUACUGAAGACUAACUACUGCGAAAGCAUUUACCAAGGACGUUUUCAUUAA
RNAcentral lists this ribosomal RNA (364 nucleotides) under uncultured eukaryote. RNAcentral describes it as "partial 18S ribosomal RNA". It matches the Rfam family "Eukaryotic small subunit ribosomal RNA", at positions 592 to 976 of the family's 1831-position model. The record is from RNAcentral.